Molecule: long non-coding RNA, 2277 nt
Filed under: Sus scrofa (pig)
Lineage: Eukaryota; Metazoa; Chordata; Mammalia; Artiodactyla; Suidae
Description: lncRNA (ENSSSCG00060025556.1)
Source: RNAcentral
CACCCUAUCCCAGUCCUCUUGCUUCCCUGGCGCUGCUCCCAUGUGGAGAAGCCUCUACCUGGUCAGAUGUGGACCUGGGCAGGCUCACUGCAUUGAAAGGCUAUGCGCACAGGGGCACGGGCCUCACUCACACUUUCCAGGAGCCCCUGCAAACACUCUGGAUGGACACCUGAAACACAGAUGCACCACCGAAAGUGGAAAUACCGUGUCCUUAGGAUUCUGGAACUUACUCUUUAUUUUUCUUUAUUUCUCUCUGUUUUGGCCUUCCUGAGGCAUAUGGAGUUCCCAGACCAGGGAUCAGAUCUGAGCCACAGCUUCAACCUACACUGCAACUGUGGCAAUGCCAGAUCUUUUUAUUUUAUUUUUUUUGUCUUUUUGCUAUUUCUUGGGCUGCUCAUGCGGCAUAUGGAGGUUCCCAGGCUAGGGGUCCAAUCGGAGGUGUAGCUGCUGGCCUACGCCACAGCCACGGCAACGCUAGAUCUGAGCUGCAUCUGCAACCUACACCACAGCUUGGCAACGCCAGAUCCUUAAUCCACCGAGUGAGACAGGGAUUGAACCUGCAACCUCAGGGUUCCUAGUCGGAUUCAUUUCCACUGUGCCACAACAGGAACUCCUCAAACUUUUCAUUAUUAUUGUAUUUGUUACGGUGAUCUGUGAUCAGUAAUCCCUGUUAGUGUUGCAAAAUGAUUAUGAUUUGCUGAAUGCUCAGAUGAUGGUUAGUAUAUCUAAUUUUUUUUUUUAAUUUUUAGGGCCGAACCUGUGGCAUAUGGAGGUUCCCAGUCUAGGGGUAUAAUCGGAGCUACAGCUGCCGGCCUAGACCACAGCUGCAGCCACAUAGGAUCUGAGUCGUGUCUGUGCCCUAAACCACACAGCUCGUGACAACACUGGAUCCCUGACCCACUGAGUGAGGCCAGGGAUCAAACCCAUGUCCUUGUGCGUACUAGUUGGGUUCAUUAACCACUGAGCCACGAUGGAAACUCUAGUAAUAAAAUAUUUUUAUUUUUGUAACUAUUAUUUUCUUUUUUUUUUUUUUUGCUUUUCAGGGCCUCACUUGCAGCAUGUGGAGGUUCCCAGGCUAGGUGUCUAAUCAGAGCUGCAGCUGCCGGCCUAUGCCACAGCCACAGCCACAGCCACAGCAAGCCAGCACUGAGCCAUGUUUGUGACCUACACCACAGCUCACAGCAAUGCCAGAUCCUUAACCCACUGAACGAAGCCAGGGAUCGAACCUGCAUCCUCAUGGUUCCUAGUCUGAUUCCUGCUGAGCCACGAUGGGAACUGCUAAAAUAUUUUUAAAUUAAGGCAGGUACAUAUUCUUAGACAUAAUGCUUCAUGGUAUUAAUUGCACAUUUAAUAGAUUACAGUAUAGUGUAAAUAUAACUUUUUUUUCUUCUUUUUUGGCUGCCCCAUGGCAUAUGGAGUUCCUGGGUCAGGGAUCAGAUCUGAGCCACAGCUGUGACCUUGCUGCAGCUGUAGCAAUGCUGGAUCCUUUAACCCAUUGUGCUGGGCUGGGGACCUGUGUCCUAGUGCUGCAAAGAUGCUGCUAAUCCCAUUGUGCCACAGUGGGAACUCCUGUAAACUUAACUUUUGUAUGCACCAAAAAGUUCAUGUUGACUUCGUUUAUUAUGGUAUUCACUUUAUUGCAGUAGUAUGGAAUCAAGAUUGCUCACAAUAUCUGAGGUAUGCCUGCUGUAUACCUGAGGUAUACUAACUGUGCUAACUAUACUAACAAUACUAACUAAAUUUUUAUUUCAAGGAAAAAUGAGGAAAAUAUCAAAUAAUGAUUAUCAGUAAAUUUCUCAUGACCUUGGAGGCCAGAUGGCUUGGGUUGAUGAAUUCAAAAUGUUGAAGGAAAAAAGCUGUCAACCAAGAAUCUUUUCUCUAACAAAACUGUCCCUCAGAGAUGAGGGUGAAACUGAAAGCUUCCCAGAGAAGCCAAGACUGAGGAAGGUCUUUGCUACCAGACCUGCCUGUAAUGCAGGGCAUCCUGCCAGUUGAAAUGAAAGGCAGUGGACAGUAACCCAAAGCCUGUGAGCAAGUGAACGUCUUUGGUAAAAGUAAAUACACAGGAGUUCCUGCCGUGGUGUAAUGGGAUUGGCAGUGUCUCUGCAGCGCCAGGACACUGUGGGCUGGCACAGUGGGCCAGGAUCCCUGGUCUGGCACAGUGGGUUAAAGGAUCCAGCAUUGCCACAUCUGUGGUGUAGCUAGCAACUAUGGCUCAGAUCUGAUCCCUGGCUCAGGAACUUCAUAUGCUGUGGGUACGCCAUUAAAAAAAAAAAA